GAUGAACGCUGGCGGCGUGCCUAACACAUGCAAGUCGAACGAAGCACUUUGGAUGGAGAUUCGUCAAAAUCUGAUUUGACUUAGUGGCGGACGGGUGAGUAACGCGUGAGGAACCUGCCUCGGAGUGGGGGACAACAGUUGGAAACGACUGCUAAUACCGCAUAACGUAUCUUUAUCGCAUGGUAGGGAUACCAAAGAUUUAUCGCUCUGAGAUGGCCUCGCGUCUGAUUAGGUAGUUGGUGGGGUAACGGCCCACCAAGCCGACGAUCAGUAGCCGGACUGAGAGGUUGAACGGCCACAUUGGGACUGAGAUACGGCCCAGACUCC
Molecule: ribosomal RNA, 327 nt
Filed under: uncultured Oscillospira sp.
Lineage: Bacteria; Bacillati; Bacillota; Clostridia; Eubacteriales; Oscillospiraceae
Description: bacterial SSU rRNA
Rfam family: Bacterial small subunit ribosomal RNA
Source: RNAcentral